CCUACGGGUGGCAGCAGUGGGGAAUAUUGGGCAAUGGGCGCAAGCCUGACCCAGCAACGCCGCGUGAAGGAAGAAGGCUUUCGGGUUGUAAACUUCUUUUCUCAGGGACGAAGAAAGUUACGGUACCUGCGGACUAAGCCACGGCUAACUACGUGCCAGCCGCCGCGGUAAUCCGUAGGUGGCAAGGUUUAUCCGGUUUUACGGGGUGUAAAGGUCGUUGUGGCGGGAAAGAAAGUCAGAUGUGAAAACCAUGGGCUCAACCUGUGGCCUGCAUGUGAAACUGUUUUUCUGGAGUGCUGGAGAGGCAGGCGGAAUGUCUGGUGUAGCGGUGAAAUGCAUAGAUAUGAGGAAGAACACCGGUGGCGAAGGCGGUCUGCGGGCCAGCAACUGACGCUGAGGCGCGAAAGCGUGGGGAGCAAACAGGAUUAGAUACCCUUGUAGUC
Molecule: ribosomal RNA, 443 nt
Filed under: uncultured bacterium
Lineage: Bacteria
Description: partial 16S ribosomal RNA
Rfam family: Bacterial small subunit ribosomal RNA
Source: RNAcentral